Molecule: transfer RNA, 50 nt
Filed under: Psephurus gladius (Chinese swordfish)
Lineage: Eukaryota; Metazoa; Chordata; Actinopteri; Acipenseriformes; Polyodontidae
Description: partial tRNA-Phe
Source: RNAcentral
AAGCAUAACACUGAAGAUGUUAAGAUAGACCCUAGAAAGUCCCGCAAGCA